GGUUAAGCGACUAAGCGUACACGGUGGAUGCCCUGGCAGUCAGAGGCGAUGAAGGACGUGCUAAUCUGCGAUAAGCGUCGGUAAGGUGAUAUGAACCGUUAUAACCGGCGAUUUCCGAAUGGGGAAACCCAGUGUGUUUCGACACACUAUCAUUAACUGAAUCCAUAGGUUAAUGAGGCGAACCGGGGGAACUGAAACAUCUAAGUACCCCGAGGAAAAGAAAUCAACCGAGAUUCCCCCAGUAGCGGCGAGCGAACGGGGAGCAGCCCAGAGCCUGAAUCAGUGUGUGUGUUAGUGGAAGCGUCUGGAAAGGCGCGCGAUACAGGGUGACAGCCCCGUACACAAAAAUGCACAUAUUGUGAGCUCGAUGAGUAGGGCGGGACACGUGGUAUCCUGUCUGAAUAUGGGGGGACCAUCCUCCAAGGCUAAAUACUCCUGACUGACCGAUAGUGAACCAGUACCGUGAGGGAAAGGCGAAAAGAACCCCGGCGAGGGGAGUGAAAAAGAACCUGAAACCGUGUACGUACAAGCAGUGGGAGCCUCUUUUAUGGGGUGACUGCGUACCUUUUGUAUAAUGGGUCAGCGACUUAUAUUCUGUAGCAAGGUUAACCGAAUAGGGGAGCCGAAGGGAAACCGAGUCUUAACUGGGCGUUAAGUUGCAGGGUAUAGACCCGAAACCCGGUGAUCUAGCCAUGGGCAGGUUGAAGGUUGGGUAACACUAACUGGAGGACCGAACCGACUAAUGUUGAAAAAUUAGCGGAUGACUUGUGGCUGGGGGUGAAAGGCCAAUCAAACCGGGAGAUAGCUGGUUCUCCCCGAAAGCUAUUUAGGUAGCGCCUCGUGAAUUCAUCUCCGGGGGUAGAGCACUGUUUCGGCAAGGGGGUCAUCCCGACUUACCAACCCGAUGCAAACUGCGAAUACCGGAGAAUGUUAUCACGGGAGACACACGGCGGGUGCUAACGUCCGUCGUGAAGAGGGAAACAACCCAGACCGCCAGCUAAGGUCCCAAAGUCAUGGUUAAGUGGGAAACGAU
This 1033-nucleotide ribosomal RNA is filed under the name Escherichia coli. RNAcentral's name for it is "partial 23S ribosomal RNA". It matches the Rfam family "Bacterial large subunit ribosomal RNA", at positions 1 to 1074 of the family's 2925-position model. The record is from RNAcentral. Lineage: Bacteria; Pseudomonadati; Pseudomonadota; Gammaproteobacteria; Enterobacterales; Enterobacteriaceae.